RNAcentral lists this ribosomal RNA (776 nucleotides) under uncultured Neocallimastigales. RNAcentral's name for it is "partial large subunit ribosomal RNA". It matches the Rfam family "Eukaryotic large subunit ribosomal RNA", at positions 24 to 642 of the family's 3401-position model. The record is from RNAcentral. Lineage: Eukaryota; Fungi; Neocallimastigomycota; Neocallimastigomycetes; Neocallimastigales.
UAUCUCUGUAGAGUCUGCAUAUCAAUAAGCGGAGGAAAAGAAACUAACAAGGAUUCCCUUAGUAACGGCGAGUGAAGCGGGAAGAGCUCAAAUUUGAAAUCUUCAAGGUUCUACCUUGACGAAUUGUAGUUUAAAGAAGUGUUUUCUGUUAGAUGAGUAGCAAAAGUUCCUUGGAAUGGGACAUCAUAGAGGGUGAGAAUCCCGUAAUUUGGUUAUUCAUUCUAGCUCUGUGAUACACUUUCAAAGAGUCGGAUUGUUUGGGAAUGCAGUCCAAAAUGGGUGGUAAAUUUCAUCUAAAGCUAAAUAUUGGCGAGAGACCGAUAGCGAACAAGUACCGUGAGGGAAAGAUGAAAAGAACUUUGAAAAGAGAGUUAAACAGUACGUGAAAUUGUCAAAAGGGAAGCGUUUGACACCAGUGUUGUUUUUCCGAAAAUCAAUUAAAAAUUGAUUCAUGCCAGGUUGUAUUGACCUUAUCAGCUUGCAAUUUGGUUUUGGGUCUCUUUUUGAUGCACUUUUCGGUUAACAAGUCAACAUCAAUUUCCUUUGCUGUAAAAAGGUAAGAGGAAGGUGGCUUCAAUUUCGGUUGAAGUGUUUAUAGCCUCUUAUCUCUGCAGUCGGGGAGAUUGAGGUCUGCAGCGUAGAUCCUUCGGGGCUAGAUACAUUUAUGCUAAGUUAGUAGCUUUUCAUAGACAACUUGUUGACUAUGUUUAGUCAUGUAGCUUACUCGUAAGUGCUAUUUUACCUACGCUUAGGAUGUUGAAGACUCUACAGAGAUA